Molecule: ribosomal RNA, 253 nt
Filed under: uncultured bacterium
Lineage: Bacteria
Description: partial 16S ribosomal RNA
Rfam family: Bacterial small subunit ribosomal RNA
Source: RNAcentral
GACGAACCGUGCGAACGUUGUUCGGAAUCACUGGGCGUAAAGGGCGCGUAGGCGGCUUUUCAAGUCGGGGGUGAAAGCCUGUGGCUCAACCACAGAAUUGCCUUCGAUACUGUUAGGCUUGAGACCGGAAGAGGUGAGUGGAACUGCGAGUGUAGAGGUGGAAUUCGUAGAUAUUCGCAAGAACACCAGUGGCGAAGGCGGCUCACUGGUCCGGUUCUGACGCUGAGGCGCGAAAGCGUGGGGAGCAAACAGG